GCCUAUAGCUCAAUUGGUAGAGCGCCGGACUCUUAAUCCGUCGGUUCCAGGUUCGAGUCCUGGUGGGC
This 68-nucleotide transfer RNA is filed under the name marine eukaryotic metagenome. It matches the Rfam family "tRNA". From Rfam's summary of the family: Transfer RNA (tRNA) molecules are approximately 80 nucleotides in length. Their secondary structure includes four short double-helical elements and three loops (D, anti-codon, and T loops). Further hydrogen bonds mediate the characteristic L-shaped molecular structure. tRNAs have two regions of fundamental functional importance: the anti-codon, which is responsible for specific mRNA codon recognition, and the 3' end, to which the tRNAs corresponding amino acid is attached (by aminoacyl-tRNA synthetases). tRNAs cope with the degeneracy of the genetic code in two manners: having more than one tRNA (with a specific anti-codon) for a particular amino acid; and 'wobble' base-pairing, i.e. permitting non-standard base-pairing at the 3rd anti-codon position. The record is from RNAcentral.